Molecule: ribosomal RNA, 957 nt
Filed under: Triticum aestivum (bread wheat)
Lineage: Eukaryota; Viridiplantae; Streptophyta; Magnoliopsida; Poales; Poaceae
Description: partial small subunit ribosomal RNA
Source: RNAcentral
AUGGAGUUGAUGGCUACAUCAUAUUUCAAGGAGGUGUUUACAAAGGACCCUACUCUCUUCCCGGAGCCGGUUCUGGAGAAGAUAACAACAAAGGUUACACACGAAAUGAAUGUGUCUUUGUGCAGACCAUUCACUGUCGAAGAGGUGUCGGAUGCGUUGUUCCAAAUUGGGCCGCUAAAAGCACCUGGUACGGAUGGAUUUCCUGCUCGGUUUUAUCAGCGAAAUUGGGCCGUCAUGAAGGAGGAGAUCACAGCGGCUGUUAUGGAAUUUUUUGUGUCAGGAAUCAUGCCUAAGGGGGUGAAUGAUACGGCUAUUGUGCUUAUUCUGAAGAUUCAGUUCCCAAAGGAGCUCAAGGACUUUCGCCCAAUCAGUUUGUAUAACGUGAUCUACAAAAUAGUGUCCAAGUGCUUGGUGAACCGGCUUCGGCCUCUCUUGGCGGAACUUAUUUCUGAAAACCAAAGUGCGUUUAUUCCUGGUCGGCUUAUCUCAGAUAAUUCGAUCAUAGCUUUUGAGUGCAUCAACCAUAUUCAGACUUUGAAGAAUAAUAACCCUGUUGCGUGUGCAUACAAGUUAGACUUGUCCAAGGCGUAUGACCGCGUGGAUUGGGACUUUCUUGAGAAGGCCUUGAGCAGGUGGGGUUUCUCUGCAACAUGGAUCAAAUGGAUGAUGGCGUGUGUAAGAUCUGUCACGUACACGGUGAAAUUCAACGGCAAAUUGCUUGAGGUUUUUGAGCCAUCGAGAGGGCUCCGACAAGGUGAUCCGCUGUCCCCGUUCCUAUUUCUGUUUGUAGCUGACGCUUUGUCUGCUCUUAUUACCAGCUCUGUGGAGAGUGGUGAAUUAAGGGGAGUGACCAUAUGUCGUGGUGCCCCGGAGAUAUCUCAUUUGCUUUUUGCGGAUGAUACUUUACUGUUUUUGAGGCUUCGAGCCAGCAAGCUAGCUUUGUCAACGGUUUGUUGA